CUGACACAGGUGCUGCAUGGCUGUCGUCAGCUCGUGUCGUGAGAUGUUGGGUUAAGUCCGUAACGAGCGCAACCCUUGUCCUUAGUUACCAGCACGUUAUGUGGGCACUCUAAGGAGACUGCCGGUGACAAACCGGAGGAAGGUGGGGGAUGACGUCAAGUCAUCAUGGCCCUUACGGCCUGGGCUACACACGUGCUACAAUGGUCGGUACAAAGGGUUGCCAAGCCGCGAGGUGGAGCUAAUCCCAUAAAACCGAUCGUAGUCCGGAUCGCAGUCUGCAACUCGACUGCGUGAAGUCGGAAUCGCUAGUAAUCGUGAAUCAGAAUGUCACGGUGAAUACGUUCCCGGGCCUU
Molecule: ribosomal RNA, 353 nt
Filed under: uncultured Pseudomonas sp.
Lineage: Bacteria; Pseudomonadati; Pseudomonadota; Gammaproteobacteria; Pseudomonadales; Pseudomonadaceae
Description: bacterial SSU rRNA
Rfam family: Bacterial small subunit ribosomal RNA
Source: RNAcentral